CUCAAAUAAAUAACUGAAAAAAAUCAAUACAAAAUCCAUUUGGCAUAUCCAAAACCAUGAAAUCAUCACAUACGUUUCUCAUUUGCGUACUCAUGCUCUCUCUCUUUGCACUAUAUGAAUGUACGAGGAUGGAUGUUAGGUCGAACAAAGUCUGGCUACCAUGUGUCCAUAGAGAUUGCAAGCUUGUUCCUGGUGGAAGCUGCUAUUGCUGCCUAUCACUAUCAGCAAGAACAAAACUAAAUUGUUGGGCAGACCAACACUAUUGUAACACACAUUGUCCUCCUUUCCUUUAACAAACAUAAUCCUCCAUUGUACAACUUCUUAUUCUAUUACCAUUUGCUUUAAUCAAAAUAAGAACAUUAUUUAA
Long non-coding RNA from Capsella rubella, 367 nucleotides. RefSeq lists it as uncharacterized. NCBI's taxonomy places the organism in Eukaryota, Viridiplantae, Streptophyta, Magnoliopsida, Brassicales, Brassicaceae. The transcript has 2 exons. The record is from RefSeq and is a predicted model, not a curated record.